Molecule: ribosomal RNA, 253 nt
Filed under: uncultured bacterium
Lineage: Bacteria
Description: partial 16S ribosomal RNA
Rfam family: Bacterial small subunit ribosomal RNA
Source: RNAcentral
UACGUAGGUGACAAGCGUUGUCCGGAUUUACUGGGCGUAAAGAGCGCGCAGGCGGUCGAUCAAGUCGAGUGUGAAAGCCCCCGGCUCAACUGGGGAGGGUCAUUCGAUACUGAUCGACUCGAAGGCAGGAGAGGGUAGUGGAAUUCCCGGUGUAGUAGUGAAAUGCGUAGAUAUCGGGAGGAACACCAGUGGCGAAGGCGACUACCUGGCCUGUUCUUGACGCUGAGGCGCGAAAGCUAGGGGAGCAAACGGG